UCGGCUUAGAGUUUGAUCAUGGCUCAGGACGAACGCUGGCGGCGUGUCUAAUACAUGCAAGUCGAACGAAUUGGUGCUUGCAUCAUUGAGUGGCGAACUGGUGAGUAACACGUGGGAAACCUGCCCAGAAGCGGGGGAUAACACCUGGAAACAGAUGCUAAUACCGCAUAACAACUUGACCGCAUGGUCCGAGUUGAAAGAUGUUCGUAUCACUUUUGGAUGGUCCCGCGGCGUAUUAGCUAGAUGGUGGGGUAACGGCUCACCAUGGCAAUGAUACGUAGCCGACCUGAGAGGGUAAUCGGCCACAUUGGGACUGAGACACGGCCCAAACUCCUACGGGAGGCAGCAGUAGGGAAUCUUCCACAAUGGACGAAAGUCUGAUGGAGCAACGCCGCGUGAGUGAAGAAGGGUUUCGGCUCGUAAAACUCUGUUGUUAAAGAAGAACAUAUCUGAGGUAAUUCAGGUAUUGACGGUAUUUAACCAGAAAGCCACGGCUAACUACGUGCCAGCAGCCGCGGUAAUACGUAGUGGCAAGCGUUGUCCGGAUUUAUUGGGCGUAAAGCGAGCGCAGCGGUUUUUUAAGUCUGAUGUGAAAGCCUUCGGCUCAACCGAAGAAGUGCAUCGGAAACUGGGAAACUUGAGUGCAGA
RNAcentral lists this ribosomal RNA (648 nucleotides) under uncultured Lactobacillus sp. Its description in RNAcentral is "bacterial SSU rRNA". It matches the Rfam family "Bacterial small subunit ribosomal RNA", at positions 1 to 652 of the family's 1533-position model. The record is from RNAcentral. Lineage: Bacteria; Bacillati; Bacillota; Bacilli; Lactobacillales; Lactobacillaceae.